This 1615-nucleotide long non-coding RNA is filed under the name Struthio camelus australis. RNAcentral's name for it is "lncRNA (ENSSCUG00000006600.1)". The record is from RNAcentral. Lineage: Eukaryota; Metazoa; Chordata; Aves; Struthioniformes; Struthionidae.
AAAACUGUUUAAAAUCACCAAUUGACCAAAUUACUUGAAUUUUUUGGAGGUGUUCAUAAACAUGAUAGCCUUGCUUUUAUUACAGCCAUCAUAACCUUAUAUCAAAAGAGAUGAUAACCUUCCAUACUUUGUAAUUUUUAGUUUUGUUGCAUCUACUGGCCUCAUGUGGAACUGCAGAAGGAAAAUGUAUUGUAGACACCUCUCAAUUCCAAUGAUUUCGGUGAAGAUCAAAUGUUUUCAAGUGGCAGUCAAUACCUUGAAGGACUGCAGCCAUUAUAUAGUUAUAUACUAUAAUAGGUCAGUCCUAAGGAUUGAAAUUAUAUAUUAUAUACUAAUAUAUGAUUAACCUUUGUUAUCAUCAAGAUGUGCAAUUGUAUUUUAAAAUUCAUUGGUAUUGCUUUCAUUUUAGAUGACCAGAAAAGCUGGGUCACAAUUACGUAUACUGUCCUCAUGUAUCGCCGAUUUUGCUACAUUCCCUCUCUUUCAACUGCAGAUGCUUCAUGUAUUGAAAGAGAUACAAUGGGCUUUUUAGUCAUGUUACAUCAUAUAAGAUAAAGAAAGGAUUUGCUCCUGUCAGAGAAGGAGACCACCUCAGAGGGUGACAAGCUGUGGACAGAAAGGAACUGUUUUCAAGGUGUUCACCUUGAAAUCACUAUCAAUUCAUGUGCGGUAAUAGCACAUGGGUUGUCAUACCUGAAAUGAACCAUUCUGUAUUACUGUUACGUAAGAGACUUCUGCAAGAACAUGGUAAGAACUGCUGAACUGCAACUUUUAUAGUAAGUUAUCACUCUUUUUUGUUGUAAUUCCAUAGAGUACUACAAUCAGUACUGAAGAAACUGAGCCCAUCAUUGACAGCAGUCCUUUUGCUUAUUUAUAAAAGCAGCCCUCACUGCCCUAUAAAGUGUUCGGCUACCCUGUAUCUCGUAAGUAUUUAGGACCUUUAUCGUCAAGCACUUGGUAUUAAUACACAAUUAUGCAGAGGCAUAAGAUUAUGUGUUUGUGUAUACACACACAUUCCUGAAGACAAAGGCGCUAUGAAAAAAAAAUUGCAUAUCAUUUGCCUUGUUCACCUGCAAGUUACCUUUUCGCUUAUGGAAAGAAUUUAACUUCCACAUCAUGCAGAUGUGAACAAAGAUACGAACAAAAGUCAUGAACGGUACUGCUGCUUACAUUCUCCCAGAUCUAUGGGCAGCAUCUAAGAAAUUUGCUGUCUUACAAAAAGAUCACCCAGAGCAUCCAGUCUUUGAAGUAACUGCAACACAAGAGGAACUAUGCAAAGCUUAAAUAAGGCUUUUUAACUGGAAGAACCUGUAAAAGCAACUUUUGACACACGUGAAUCUAACCAAGAAUCAACCGCUUCACAAUCUGUAUCUGCUUUCUUUUUGUUCAUACAGCUAAUUCUUUGGCUCAGCUACAGUCAGAAUUACAGGUGCAGUUUUCCAUUAAGUUAAUGAAAAUACUUUACAAGGAAUUAAUUUGGCUGCUAAGCUAUAAUAUAUCACGUUCCAAUUAAAUCUGUGGUGAAAGAAGAUGGUGAUUUCGUAAUGACAGGAUUGUGAUUUCACUGUCGGGUCUCUUUAAUAAAUAGAAGCUGGAAACUUUGUUGACUAUUGUA